RNAcentral lists this ribosomal RNA (396 nucleotides) under uncultured microorganism. RNAcentral describes it as "bacterial SSU rRNA". It matches the Rfam family "Archaeal small subunit ribosomal RNA", at positions 330 to 732 of the family's 1478-position model. The record is from RNAcentral.
GUGCAGCAGGCGCGAAAACUUUACAAUGUGCGAAAGCACGAUAAGGGAACUCUGAGUGCCUCCUAAGGAGGCUGUUCAGGUGUCUAAAAAGCACCUGGAGUAAGGGCUGGGUAAGACCGGUGCCAGCCGCCGCGGUAACACCGGCAGCCCAGGUGGUAGCCACUUUUAUUGGGUCUAAGGCGUCCGUAGCCGGUUGAGUAAGUUCCUUGGGAAAUUUGGCUGCUCAACAGUCAAGCUUCCAGGGAAUACUGCUCGACUUGGGACUGGGAGAGGUCAGAGGUACUCCAGGGGUAGGGUGAAAUCCAUUAAUCCCUGGGGGACCACCGGUAGCGAAGGCGUCUGACCAGACCAGGUCCGACGGUGAGGGACGAAGGCUAGGGUCGCGAACCGGAUUAG